GGGGCCAUAGCUCAGCUGGGAGAGCGCCUGCUUUGCACGCAGGAGGUCAGCGGUUCGAUCCCGCUUGGCUACACCA
Molecule: transfer RNA, 76 nt
Filed under: Stutzerimonas stutzeri DSM 10701
Lineage: Bacteria; Pseudomonadati; Pseudomonadota; Gammaproteobacteria; Pseudomonadales; Pseudomonadaceae
Description: tRNA-Ala (TGC) (tRNA-Ala-TGC-2-1)
Rfam family: tRNA
About the family: Transfer RNA (tRNA) molecules are approximately 80 nucleotides in length. Their secondary structure includes four short double-helical elements and three loops (D, anti-codon, and T loops).
Source: RNAcentral